Molecule: ribosomal RNA, 266 nt
Filed under: uncultured bacterium
Lineage: Bacteria
Description: partial 16S ribosomal RNA
Rfam family: Bacterial small subunit ribosomal RNA
Source: RNAcentral
GUCCACGCCCUAAACGAUGUCAACUGGUUGUUGGGUCUUCACUGACUCAGUAACGAAGCUAACGCGUGAAGUUGACCGCCUGGGGAGUACGGCCGCAAGGUUGAAACUCAAAGGAAUUGACGGGGACCCGGCACAAGCGGUGGAUGAUGUGGUUUAAUUUCGAUGCAACGCGAAAACCUUAACCCACCUUUGUACAUGUACGGAAGUUACCAGAGAUGGUUUCGUGCUCGAAAGAGACCGUAACACAGGUGCUGCAUGGCUGUCGU